AUUUAAUACAAGGACAGAUUGCCAGGAGUAGUCAGUACAGAGAUGCAGUUACAGAAGAGGUUUUUACUAGCCCUGGGACUAUAAGUGUAGAAGAUGUAGGUGACCCUGUCCUCGCCCGUUUACGGCACAGAGUAACAGCUUCCCUGUCACUAGCACAGCCCCUACCCAGCUCGGAACGCAUCACUUCCGUGAUCUGCUUCCGGGUGUGUCGCCUGCUGGUGACGUCACGCAGCGACGUGUGCGGACUGCGGAGACCAUCCUUUCUUACGGUCUUCGCGCUGCGAGCUGUUUCCGGCGUGCACAGAAGCUCGGAAUGUUUCCAGAGACAAGUGUUUUCCAAUGUUCUAAGAAGCCAACAGAAUGCCAAACAUGUCGACCACAAGAAGUGAGCGCAAGCGUGAGUUGUCCUCAACUCAUAGGACCCACCACCAGAGAGGGAGGACAUGUUCUAAGAUGGUUCUGAGCCUGCCAACCAAUGGAAUGGUCCAAUCAUCUUCAGCAGUUCAUUGGUUGCUACGGUGAUAAGACUACUUUUUAAACAUUGCACCAGAACGGACAGACUGGUUUCGAUGCAGGAGAUAGAGCCGGUAACUGAAUAGCAACCCUUCCGUAUAUUUCAAUGGAAACAAUGAGUUAAAAAAUGUGAGAUAAAAUGUA
This is a long non-coding RNA of Spea bombifrons (plains spadefoot toad), 657 nucleotides long. RefSeq lists it as uncharacterized. The record is from RefSeq and is a predicted model, not a curated record. NCBI's taxonomy places the organism in Eukaryota, Metazoa, Chordata, Amphibia, Anura, Pelobatidae. The transcript has 2 exons.